Long non-coding RNA from Notothenia coriiceps (black rockcod), 189 nucleotides. RefSeq lists it as uncharacterized. The record is from RefSeq and is a predicted model, not a curated record. The transcript has 3 exons. NCBI's taxonomy places the organism in Eukaryota, Metazoa, Chordata, Actinopteri, Perciformes, Nototheniidae.
GAGAAUUGUUGUUAUUUAGCAUUCGACUCCUGCCUUCACCUCUUCCUCAUACCUGAGACUCUAGCUGCACAGGAUGUCUUGGGACGGGUACAUCACCAGCCUGAUGGCAGCCACUGACGGAGUGGCACACGUCUCGGGGGCAGCGAUCUGUGGCCAGGACGGCAGCACCUGGGCGGCCUCGGAGGACAU